AAAUUGAAGAGUUUGAUCAUGGCUCAGAUUGAACGCUGGCGGCAGGCCUAACACAUGCAAGUCGAACGGUAACAGGAAGCAGCUUGCUGCUUCGCUGACGAGUGGCGGACGGGUGAGUAAUGUCUGGGAAACUGCCUGAUGGAGGGGGAUAACUACUGGAAACGGUGGCUAAUACCGCAUAACGUCGCAAGACCAAAGAGGGGGACCUUCGGGCCUCUUGCCAUCAGAUGUGCCCAGAUGGGAUUAGCUUGUUGGUGAGGUAACGGCUCACCAAGGCGACGAUCCCUAGCUGGUCUGAGAGGAUGACCAGCCACACUGGAACUGAGACACGGUCCAGACUCCUACGGGAGGCAGCAGUGGGGAAUAUUGCACAAUGGGCGCAAGCCUGAUGCAGCCAUGCCGCGUGUAUGAAGAAGGCCUUCGGGUUGUAAAGUACUUUCAGCGGGGAGGAAGGUGUUGUGGUUAAUAACCACAGCAAUUGACGUUACCCGCAGAAGAAGCACCGGCUAACUCCGUGCCAGCAGCCGCGGUAAUACGGAGGGUGCAAGCGUUAAUCGGAAUUACUGGGCGUAAAGCGCACGCAGGCGGUCUGUCAAGUCGGAUGUGAAAUCCCCGGGCUCAACCUGGGAACUGCAUUCGAAACUGGCAGGCUUGAGUCUUGUAGAGGGGGGUAGAAUUCCAGGUGUAGCGGUGAAAUGCGUAGAGAUCUGGAGGAAUACCGGUGGCGAAGGCGGCCCCCUGGACAAAGACUGACGCUCAGGUGCGAAAGCGUGGGGAGCAAACAGGAUUAGAUACCCUGGUAGUCCACGCCGUAAACGAUGUCUACUUGGAGGUUGUGCCCUUGAGGCGUGGCUUCCGGAGCUAACGCGUUAAGUAGACCGCCUGGGGAGUACGACCGCAAGGUUAAAACUCAAAUGAAUUGACGGGGGCCCGCACAAGCGGUGGAGCAUGUGGUUUAAUUCGAUGCAACGCGAAGAACCUUACCUGGUCUUGACAUCCACAGAACUUUCCAGAGAUGGAUUGGUGCCUUCGGGAACUGUGAGACAGGUGCUGCAUGGCUGUCGUCAGCUCGUGUUGUGAAAUGUUGGGUUAAGUCCCGCAACGAGCGCAACCCUUAUCCUUUGUUGCCAGCGGUUAGGCCGGGAACUCAAAGGAGACUGCCAGUGAUAAACUGGAGGAAGGUGGGGAUGACGUCAAGUCAUCAUGGCCCUUACGACCAGGGCUACACACGUGCUACAAUGGCGCAUACAAAGAGAAGCGACCUCGCGAGAGCAAGCGGACCUCAUAAAGUGCGUCGUAGUCCGGAUUGGAGUCUGCAACUCGACUCCAUGAAGUCGGAAUCGCUAGUAAUCGUGGAUCAGAAUGCCACGGUGAAUACGUUCCCGGGCCUUGUACACACCGCCCGUCACACCAUGGGAGUGGGUUGCAAAAGAAGUAGGUAGCUUAACCUUCGGGAGGGCGCUUACCACUUUGUGAUUCAUGACUGGGGUGAAGUCGUAACAAGGUAACCGUAGGGGAACCUGCGGUUGGAUCACCUCCUUACCUUAAAGAAGC
Molecule: ribosomal RNA, 1554 nt
Filed under: Salmonella enterica subsp. enterica serovar Newport str. USDA-ARS-USMARC-1925
Lineage: Bacteria; Pseudomonadati; Pseudomonadota; Gammaproteobacteria; Enterobacterales; Enterobacteriaceae
Description: bacterial SSU rRNA
Rfam family: Bacterial small subunit ribosomal RNA
Source: RNAcentral